This 253-nucleotide ribosomal RNA is filed under the name uncultured bacterium. Its description in RNAcentral is "partial 16S ribosomal RNA". It matches the Rfam family "Bacterial small subunit ribosomal RNA", at positions 524 to 776 of the family's 1533-position model. The record is from RNAcentral.
UACGAAGGGGGCUAGCGUUGCUCGGAAUCAUUGGGCGUAAAGCGCACGUAGGCGGCUUGUUAAGUCAGGGGUGAAAUCCUGGAGCUCAACUCCAGAACUGCCUUUGAUACUGAGAAGCUUGAGUCCGGGAGAGGUGAGUGGAACUGCGGGUGUAGAGGUGAAAUUCGUAGAUAUUCGCAAGAACACCAGUGGCGAAGGCGGCUCACUGGCCCGGUACUGACGCUGAGGUGCGAAAGCGUGGGGAGCAAACAGG